Molecule: ribosomal RNA, 246 nt
Filed under: uncultured bacterium
Lineage: Bacteria
Description: partial 16S ribosomal RNA
Rfam family: Bacterial small subunit ribosomal RNA
Source: RNAcentral
UAACACGUGGGUAACCUGCCUUAUAGUGGGGGAUAGCCUUUCGAAAGGAAGAUUAAUACCGCAUAAGAUUGUAGUAUCGCAUGAUAUAGCAAUUAAAGGAGCAAUCCGCUAUAAGAUGGACCCGCGUCGCAUUAGCUAGUUGGUGAGGUAAUGGCUCACCAAGGCGACGAUGCGUAGCCGACCUGAGAGGGUGAUCGGCCACAUUGGGACUGAGACACGGCCCAGACUCCUACGGGAGGCAGCAUG